GAGGUUAAGCGACUAAGCGUACACGGUGGAUGCCCUGGCAGUCAGAGGCGAUGAAGGACGUGCUAAUCUGCGAUAAGCGCCGGUAAGGUGAUAUGAACCGUUAUAACCGGCGAUUUCCGAAUGGGGAAACCCAGUGUGACUCGUCACACUAUCAUUAACUGAAUCCAUAGGUUAAUGAGGCGAACCGGGGGAACUGAAACAUCUAAGUACCCCGAGGAAAAGAAAUCAACCGAGAUUCCCCCAGUAGCGGCGAGCGAACGGGGAGGAGCCCAGAGCCUGAAUCAGCAUGUGUGUUAGUGGAAGCGUCUGGAAAGGCGCGCGAUACAGGGUGACAGCCCCGUACACAAAAGCGCAUGUGCUGUGAGCUCGAUGAGUAGGGCGGGACACGUGGUAUCCUGUCUGAAUAUGGGGGGACCAUCCUCCAAGGCUAAAUACUCCUGACUGACCGAUAGUGAACCAGUACCGUGAGGGAAAGGCGAAAAGAACCCCGGCGAGGGGAGUGAAAAAGAACCUGAAACCGUGUACGUACAAGCAGUGGGAGCACCCUUUGGGGUGUGACUGCGUACCUUUUGUAUAAUGGGUCAGCGACUUAUAUUCUGUAGCAAGGUUAACCGAAUAGGGGAGCCGGAGGGAAACCGAGUCUUAACCGGGCGUUAAGUUGCAGGGUAUAGACCCGAAACCCGGUGAUCUAGCCAUGGGCAGGUUGAAGGUUGGGUAACACUAACUGGAGGACCGAACCGACUAAUGUUGAAAAAUUAGCGGAUGACCUGUGGCUGGGGGUGAAAGGCCAAUCAAACCGGGAGAUAGCUGGUUCUCCCCGAAAGCUAUUUAGGUAGCGCCUCGUGAAUUCAUCUCCGGGGGUAGAGCACUGUUUCGGCUAGGGGGCCAUCCCGGCUUACCAACCCGAUGCAAACUGCGAAUACCGGAGAAUGUUAUCACGGGAGACACACGGCGGGUGCUAACGUCCGUCGUGAAGAGGGAAACAACCCAGACCGCCAGCUAAGGUCCCAAAGUCAUGGUUAAGUGGGAAACGAUGUGGGAAGGCCCAGACAGCCAGGAUGUUGGCUUAGAAGCAGCCAUCAUUUAAAGAAAGCGUAAUAGCUCACUGGUCGAGUCGGCCUGCGCGGAAGAUGUAACGGGGCUAAACCAUGCACCGAAGCUGCGGCAGCGACGCUGAUGCGUUGUUGGGUAGGGGAGCGUUCUGUAAGCCUGUGAAGGUGGCCUGUGAGGGUUGCUGGAGGUAUCAGAAGUGCGAAUGCUGACAUAAGUAACGAUAAAGCGGGUGAAAAGCCCGCUCGCCGGAAGACCAAGGGUUCCUGUCCAACGUUAAUCGGGGCAGGGUGAGUCGACCCCUAAGGCGAGGCCGAAAGGCGUAGUCGAUGGGAAACGGGUUAAUAUUCCCGUACUUGGUGUUACUGCGAAGGGGGGACGGAGAAGGCUAUGUUGGCCGGGCGACGGUUGUCCCGGUUUAAGCGUGUAGGUGUGUGUUCCAGGUAAAUCCGGUUCACUUUAACACUGAGGCGUGAUGACGAGGCACUACGGUGCUGAAGCAACAAAUGCCCUGCUUCCAGGAAAAGCCUCUAAGCAUCAGGUAACAUCAAAUCGUACCCCAAACCGACACAGGUGGUCAGGUAGAGAAUACCAAGGCGCUUGAGAGAACUCGGGUGAAGGAACUAGGCAAAAUGGUGCCGUAACUUCGGGAGAAGGCACGCUGACACGUAGGUGAAGUGAUUUACUCAUGGAGCUGAAGUCAGUCGAAGAUACCAGCUGGCUGCAACUGUUUAUUAAAAACACAGCACUGUGCAAACACGAAAGUGGACGUAUACGGUGUGACGCCUGCCCGGUGCCGGAAGGUUAAUUGAUGGGGUCAGCGCAAGCGAAGCUCCUGAUCGAAGCCCCGGUAAACGGCGGCCGUAACUAUAACGGUCCUAAGGUAGCGAAAUUCCUUGUCGGGUAAGUUCCGACCUGCACGAAUGGCGUAAUGAUGGCCAGGCUGUCUCCACCCGAGACUCAGUGAAAUUGAACUCGCUGUGAAGAUGCAGUGUACCCGCGGCAAGACGGAAAGACCCCGUGAACCUUUACUAUAGCUUGACACUGAACAUUGAGCCUUGAUGUGUAGGAUAGGUGGGAGGCUUUGAAGUGUGGACGCCAGUCUGCAUGGAGCCGGCCUUGAAAUACCACCCUUUAAUGUUUGAUGUUCUAACGUGGACCCGUGAUCCGGGUUGCGGACAGUGUCUGGUGGGUAGUUUGACUGGGGCGGUCUCCUCCUAAAGAGUAACGGAGGAGCACGAAGGUUGGCUAAUCCUGGUCGGACAUCAGGAGGUUAGUGCAAUGGCAUAAGCCAGCUUGACUGCGAGCGUGACGGCGCGAGCAGGUGCGAAAGCAGGUCAUAGUGAUCCGGUGGUUCUGAAUGGAAGGGCCAUCGCUCAACGGAUAAAAGGUACUCCGGGGAUAACAGGCUGAUACCGCCCAAGAGUUCAUAUCGACGGCGGUGUUUGGCACCUCGAUGUCGGCUCAUCACAUCCUGGGGCUGAAGUAGGUCCCAAGGGUAUGGCUGUUCGCCAUUUAAAGUGGUACGCGAGCUGGGUUUAGAACGUCGUGAGACAGUUCGGUCCCUAUCUGCCGUGGGCGCUGGAGAACUGAGGGGGGCUGCUCCUAGUACGAGAGGACCGGAGUGGACGCAUCACUGGUGUUCGGGUUGUCAUGCCAAUGGCACUGCCCGGUAGCUAAAUGCGGAAGAGAUAAGUGCUGAAAGCAUCUAAGCACGAAACUUGCCCCGA
Molecule: ribosomal RNA, 2780 nt
Filed under: Salmonella enterica
Lineage: Bacteria; Pseudomonadati; Pseudomonadota; Gammaproteobacteria; Enterobacterales; Enterobacteriaceae
Description: partial 23S ribosomal RNA
Rfam family: Bacterial large subunit ribosomal RNA
Source: RNAcentral